RNAcentral lists this ribosomal RNA (2988 nucleotides) under Salmonella enterica subsp. enterica serovar 4,[5],12:i:-. RNAcentral describes it as "23S ribosomal RNA". It matches the Rfam family "Bacterial large subunit ribosomal RNA". The record is from RNAcentral. Lineage: Bacteria; Pseudomonadati; Pseudomonadota; Gammaproteobacteria; Enterobacterales; Enterobacteriaceae.
GGUUAAGCGACUAAGCGUACACGGUGGAUGCCCUGGCAGUCAGAGGCGAUGAAGGACGUGCUAAUCUGCGAUAAGCGCCGGUAAGGUGAUAUGAACCGUUAUAACCGGCGAUUUCCGAAUGGGGAAACCCAGUGUGAUUCGUCACACUAUCAUUAACUGAAUCCAUAGGUUAAUGAGGCGAACCGGGGGAACUGAAACAUCUAAGUACCCCGAGGAAAAGAAAUCAACCGAGAUUCCCCCAGUAGCGGCGAGCGAACGGGGAGGAGCCCAGAGCCUGAAUCAGCAUGUGUGUUAGUGGAAGCGUCUGGAAAGGUGCGCGAUACAGGGUGACAGCCCCGUACACAAAAGCGCAUGUGCUGUGAGCUCGAUGAGUAGGGCGGGACACGUGGUAUCCUGUCUGAAUAUGGGGGGACCAUCCUCCAAGGCUAAAUACUCCUGACUGACCGAUAGUGAACCAGUACCGUGAGGGAAAGGCGAAAAGAACCCCGGCGAGGGGAGUGAAAAAGAACCUGAAACCGUGUACGUACAAGCAGUGGGAGCACAGGUUUACCUGUGUGACUGCGUACCUUUUGUAUAAUGGGUCAGCGACUUAUAUUCUGUAGCAAGGUUAACCGUAUAGGGGAGCCGUAGGGAAACCGAGUCUUAACCGGGCGUUAAGUUGCAGGGUAUAGACCCGAAACCCGGUGAUCUAGCCAUGGGCAGGUUGAAGGUUGGGUAACACUAACUGGAGGACCGAACCGACUAAUGUUGAAAAAUUAGCGGAUGACCUGUGGCUGGGGGUGAAAGGCCAAUCAAACCGGGAGAUAGCUGGUUCUCCCCGAAAGCUAUUUAGGUAGCGCCUCGUGAAUUCAUCUCCGGGGGUAGAGCACUGUUUCGGCUAGGGGGCCAUCCCGGCUUACCAACCCGAUGCAAACUGCGAAUACCGGAGAAUGUUAUCACGGGAGACACACGGCGGGUGCUAACGUCCGUCGUGAAGAGGGAAACAACCCAGACCGCCAGCUAAGGUCCCAAAGUCAUGGUUAAGUGGGAAACGAUGUGGGAAGGCCCAGACAGCCAGGAUGUUGGCUUAGAAGCAGCCAUCAUUUAAAGAAAGCGUAAUAGCUCACUGGUCGAGUCGGCCUGCGCGGAAGAUGUAACGGGGCUAAACCAUGCACCGAAGCUGCGGCAGCGAACGUAUCACUUAAAGCGAUUCAGCGGGUUACGAUUGACGGAGCGAAGCGACGUCAAAGCGUAUACAAAGUCGAGUCGGUUUAAGGAUACGUUCGUUGGGUAGGGGAGCGUUCUGUAAGCCCGUGAAGGUGGCCUGUGAGGGUUGCUGGAGGUAUCAGAAGUGCGAAUGCUGACAUAAGUAACGAAAAGCGGGUGAAAAGCCCGCUCGCCGGAAGACCAAGGGUUCCUGUCCAACGUUAAUCGGGGCAGGGUGAGUCGACCCCUAAGGCGAGGCCGAAAGGCGUAGUCGAUGGGAAACGGGUUAAUAUUCCCGUACUUGGUGUUACUGCGAAGGGGGGACGGAGAAGGCUAUGUUGGCCGGGCGACGGUUGUCCCGGUUUAAGCGUGUAGGUGUGUGUUCCAGGUAAAUCCGGUUCACUUUAACACUGAGGCGUGACGACGAGGCACUACGGUGCUGAAGCAACAAAUGCCCUGCUUCCAGGAAAAGCCUCUAAGCAUCAGGUAACAUCAAAUCGUACCCCAAACCGACACAGGUGGUCAGGUAGAGAAUACCAAGGCGCUUGAGAGAACUCGGGUGAAGGAACUAGGCAAAAUGGUGCCGUAACUUCGGGAGAAGGCACGCUGACACGUAGGUGAAGUGAUUUACUCAUGGAGCUGAAGUCAGUCGAAGAUACCAGCUGGCUGCAACUGUUUAUUAAAAACACAGCACUGUGCAAACACGAAAGUGGACGUAUACGGUGUGACGCCUGCCCGGUGCCGGAAGGUUAAUUGAUGGGGUCAGCGCAAGCGAAGCUCCUGAUCGAAGCCCCGGUAAACGGCGGCCGUAACUAUAACGGUCCUAAGGUAGCGAAAUUCCUUGUCGGGUAAGUUCCGACCUGCACGAAUGGCGUAAUGAUGGCCAGGCUGUCUCCACCCGAGACUCAGUGAAAUUGAACUCGCUGUGAAGAUGCAGUGUACCCGCGGCAAGACGGAAAGACCCCGUGAACCUUUACUAUAGCUUGACACUGAACAUUGAGCCUUGAUGUGUAGGAUAGGUGGGAGGCUUUGAAGUGUGGACGCCAGUCUGCAUGGAGCCGACCUUGAAAUACCACCCUUUAAUGUUUGAUGUUCUAACGUGGACCCGUAAUCCGGGUUGCGGACAGUGUCUGGUGGGUAGUUUGACUGGGGCGGUCUCCUCCUAAAGAGUAACGGAGGAGCACGAAGGUUGGCUAAUCCUGGUCGGACAUCAGGAGGUUAGUGCAAUGGCAUAAGCCAGCUUGACUGCGAGCGUGACGGCGCGAGCAGGUGCGAAAGCAGGUCAUAGUGAUCCGGUGGUUCUGAAUGGAAGGGCCAUCGCUCAACGGAUAAAAGGUACUCCGGGGAUAACAGGCUGAUACCGCCCAAGAGUUCAUAUCGACGGCGGUGUUUGGCACCUCGAUGUCGGCUCAUCACAUCCUGGGGCUGAAGUAGGUCCCAAGGGUAUGGCUGUUCGCCAUUUAAAGUGGUACGCGAGCUGGGUUUAGAACGUCGUGAGACAGUUCGGUCCCUAUCUGCCGUGGGCGCUGGAGAACUGAGGGGGGCUGCUCCUAGUACGAGAGGACCGGAGUGGACGCAUCACUGGUGUUCGGGUUGUCAUGCCAAUGGCACUGCCCGGUAGCUAAAUGCGGAAGAGAUAAGUGCUGAAAGCAUCUAAGCACGAAACUUGCCCCGAGAUGAGUUCUCCCUGAGACUUAGAGUCUCCUGAAGGAACGUUGAAGACGACGACGUUGAUAGGCCGGGUGUGUAAGCGCAGCGAUGCGUUGAGCUAACCGGUACUAAUGAACCGUGAGGCUUAACCUU